This 73-nucleotide transfer RNA is filed under the name Ailuropoda melanoleuca (giant panda). It matches the Rfam family "tRNA". From Rfam's summary of the family: Transfer RNA (tRNA) molecules are approximately 80 nucleotides in length. Their secondary structure includes four short double-helical elements and three loops (D, anti-codon, and T loops). Further hydrogen bonds mediate the characteristic L-shaped molecular structure. tRNAs have two regions of fundamental functional importance: the anti-codon, which is responsible for specific mRNA codon recognition, and the 3' end, to which the tRNAs corresponding amino acid is attached (by aminoacyl-tRNA synthetases). tRNAs cope with the degeneracy of the genetic code in two manners: having more than one tRNA (with a specific anti-codon) for a particular amino acid; and 'wobble' base-pairing, i.e. permitting non-standard base-pairing at the 3rd anti-codon position. The record is from Rfam by way of RNAcentral. Lineage: Eukaryota; Metazoa; Chordata; Mammalia; Carnivora; Ursidae.
GCCUGCCUGGCUCAGUCGGUAGAGCAUGUAACUCUCAAUCUCAGGGUUGUGAGUUCAAGCCUUGCAUUGGGCA